GAUCUGGUUCAGGAUGAACGCUAGCUACAGGCUUAACACAUGCAAGUCGAGGGGUAGCAGGGUAGCAAUACCGCUGACGACCGGCGCACGGGUGAGUAACACGUAUCCAACCUUCCCAUAACUCAGGGAUAGCCUUUCGAAAGAAAGAUUAAUACCUGAUAGUACUUUUUCAAGGCAUCUUGAGAAAGUUAAAGAUUUAUUGGUUAUGGAUGGGGAUGCGUUCCAUUAGAUAGUUGGUGAGGUAACGGCUCACCAAGUCUUCGAUGGAUAGGGGUUCUGAGAGGAAGGUCCCCCACAUUGGUACUGAGACACGGACCAAACUCCUACGGGAGGCAGCAGUGAGGAAUAUUGGUCAAUGGGCGAGAGCCUGAACCAGCCAAGUAGCGUGAAGGAUUGAAGGUCCUAUGGAUUGUAAACUUCUUUUAUAGUAGAAUAAAGUGAUCCACGUGUGGAUUUUUGUAUGUAUACUAUGAAUAAGGAUCGGCUAACUCCGUGCCAGCAGCGGC
This 506-nucleotide ribosomal RNA is filed under the name uncultured bacterium. RNAcentral's name for it is "bacterial SSU rRNA". It matches the Rfam family "Bacterial small subunit ribosomal RNA", at positions 15 to 518 of the family's 1533-position model. The record is from RNAcentral.